UUUUUUUCUUCUUUUCUUU
RNAcentral lists this small RNA (19 nucleotides) under Arabidopsis thaliana (thale cress). Its description in RNAcentral is "ATSL185070". The record is from RNAcentral. Lineage: Eukaryota; Viridiplantae; Streptophyta; Magnoliopsida; Brassicales; Brassicaceae.